UAGUUACUUAAUGACAUCACAUUCCAGGAAGUGACAUCACUUUGGAGGGAAAACAACAGCACCAAGUGUAAGCUGCCUGGCUCAGGGCUCGCCCCCAGCUGGACGCUCUAGACUGGUCCUCGGGGACACGGAAGGACUCUCUGUUCGAAUCCGUAUCGAUCCGUGAUGCUGAUGAAAGAACCCACUGGUCACCUUGAGCCCUGUGUAUCCCGCGGCAACACUGCAGCCCCCCCGUGUCAUUUUAGUCAGACCAUGAGGCUCCAGGGCACAAGAGAAAACAAGACAAAACAGACAAGGGAGUGAUGACGAAGAACACAAAGGCACUGCAAAUGUUUUGAGUGAUUUGGCAUGAGUUUGCUGCAGCCGAGCUGCUGGAUUGAAGUUAAUAAGCGUGCGAGAGGCCCAACGAGAGAAGUCUUCCCUCAUCCAGAUGAGUCCUCCAUGGCCCACACACACCAGAGAUGAGUCUGGAUCCUCCACUGGAGCCGCUGCACCUGUUGUUUUCAGGAGUUGGAGAAAGAUAGACACUCAUGCUCAGAGACCGUAUGGUAGGAUGAGAGCAGGCAAUGUGUUUUGUCGCAAAAGCCAAGAAAAAAAGGUUUUGCAUUUUGGUUGAAAUAUUUAGCCAGGUCAUCAAGCAUACUUAAAAUGGCCUUAAUU
Molecule: long non-coding RNA, 660 nt
Organism: Carassius carassius (crucian carp)
Lineage: Eukaryota; Metazoa; Chordata; Actinopteri; Cypriniformes; Cyprinidae
Exons: 3
Source: RefSeq, a predicted model, not a curated record